This 402-nucleotide ribosomal RNA is filed under the name uncultured Sphingomonadaceae bacterium. RNAcentral's name for it is "bacterial SSU rRNA". It matches the Rfam family "Bacterial small subunit ribosomal RNA", at positions 353 to 772 of the family's 1533-position model. Lineage: Bacteria; Pseudomonadati; Pseudomonadota; Alphaproteobacteria; Sphingomonadales; Sphingomonadaceae. The record is from RNAcentral.
AGUGGGGAAUAUUGGACAAUGGGCGAAAGCCUGAUCCAGCAAUGCCGCGUGAGUGAUGAAGGCCUUAGGGUUGUAAAGCUCUUUUACCCGGGAUGAUAAUGACAGUACCGGGAGAAUAAGCUCCGGCUAACUCCGUGCCAGCAGCCGCGGUAAUACGGAGGGAGCUAGCGUUGUUCGGAAUUACUGGGCGUAAAGCGCACGUAGGCGGCUACUCAAGUCGGGGGUGAAAGCCCGGGGCUCAACCCCGGAACUGCCUUCGAAACUAGGUAGCUAGAAUCUUGGAGAGGUCAGUGGAAUUCCGAGUGUAGAGGUGAAAUUCGUAGAUAUUCGGAAGAACACCAGUGGCGAAGGCGACUGACUGGACAAGUAUUGACGCUGAGGUGCGAAAGCGUGGGGAGCAAA